This 204-nucleotide small RNA is filed under the name Paenibacillus sp. RNAcentral's name for it is "c-di-AMP sequence". It matches the Rfam family "c-di-AMP riboswitch aptamer (ydaO/yuaA leader)". Rfam says of the family: This family represents a conserved RNA structure found upstream of the ydaO and yuaA genes in Bacillus subtilis and related genes in other bacteria. RNAcentral also lists the same sequence under 1 other name. The record is from RNAcentral. Lineage: Bacteria; Bacillati; Bacillota; Bacilli; Caryophanales; Paenibacillaceae.
UGUUUUUGAUCGCUGAGUUUUCGGUGCUAACCGAAAAACGGGGGAACCAAAUUGCGAUUUCACAAAACGGUGUGAGAGCCGGAAUGUGAAUCGUUGGGGUGAAUCUGCAUACUGACUAACCAUGGUACAGUCAGACAAUGCAGUAGGGCGACUCUCACCGCCCGAAUCCGACAGCUAACCUCGUAAGCGUGGAUAGGAGAGAAG